UCCACGCGGUAAUUUCAUUUU
This 21-nucleotide non-coding RNA is filed under the name Caenorhabditis elegans. The record is from RNAcentral. Lineage: Eukaryota; Metazoa; Nematoda; Chromadorea; Rhabditida; Rhabditidae.